CGGACGGGUGAGUAACGCGUGAGAAUCUAACUUCAGGACGGGGACAACAGUUGGAAACGACUGCUAAUACCCGAUGUGCCGAAAGGUGAAACCUAAUUGGCCUGAAGAAGAGCUUGCGUCUGAUUAGCUAGUUGGUGGGGUAAAGGCCUACCAAGGCGACGAUCAGUAGCUGGUCUGAGAGGAUGAGCAGCCACACUGGGACUGAGACACGGCCCAGACUCCUACGGGAGGCAGCAGUGGGGAAUUUUCCGCAAUGGGCGAAAGCCUGACGGAGCAACGCCGCGUGAGGGAUGAAGGUCUUUGGAUUGUAAACCUCUUUUCUCAAGGAAGAAGUUCUGACGGUACUUGAGGAAUCAGCCUCGGCUAACUCCGUGCCAGCAGCCGCGGUAAUACGGGGGAGGCAAGCGUUAUCCGGAAUUAUUGGGCGUAAAGCGUCCGCAGGUGGUCAGCCAAGUCUGCCGUCAAAUCAGGUUGCUUAACGACCUAAAGGCGGUGGAAACUGGCAGACUAGAGAGCAGUAGGGGUAGCAGGAAUUCCCAGUGUAGCGGUGAAAUGCGUAGAGAUUGGGAAGAACAUCGGUGGCGAAAGCGUGCUACUGGGCUGUAUCUGACACUCAGGGACGAAAGCUAGGGGA
This 634-nucleotide ribosomal RNA is filed under the name uncultured cyanobacterium. RNAcentral's name for it is "bacterial SSU rRNA". It matches the Rfam family "Bacterial small subunit ribosomal RNA", at positions 99 to 767 of the family's 1533-position model. Lineage: Bacteria; Bacillati; Cyanobacteriota. The record is from RNAcentral.